UACGAAGGGGGCUAGCGUUGUUCGGAUUUACUGGGCGUAAGGGCACGCAGGCGGUCUUGCCAGUCAGGGGUGAAAGCCCGGGGCUCAACCCCGGAACUGCCUCUGAUACUGCAGGACUAGAGACUAGGAGAGGGUGGUGGAAUUCCCAGUGUAGAGGUGAAAUUCGUAGAUAUUGGGAGGAACACCAGAGGCGAAGGCGGCCACCUGGACUAGAUCUGACACUGAGGUGCGAAAGCGUGGGUAGCAAACAGG
This 252-nucleotide unclassified non-coding RNA is filed under the name uncultured Rhodospirillales bacterium. RNAcentral describes it as "contains 16S-23S intergenic spacer region". It matches the Rfam family "Bacterial small subunit ribosomal RNA", at positions 524 to 776 of the family's 1533-position model. The record is from RNAcentral. Lineage: Bacteria; Pseudomonadati; Pseudomonadota; Alphaproteobacteria; Rhodospirillales.